Molecule: ribosomal RNA, 506 nt
Filed under: uncultured bacterium
Lineage: Bacteria
Description: partial 16S ribosomal RNA
Rfam family: Bacterial small subunit ribosomal RNA
Source: RNAcentral
GAUAAACGCUAGCGGCAGGCUUAACACAUGCAAGUCGAGGGGCAGCACAUAAAGUGGUUUACUACUUUUGGUGGCGACCGGCGGACGGGUGCGUAACGCGUAUGCAACCUGCCUCCAACAGGGGGAUAACGGAGAGAAAUUUCCACUAAUACCCCAUAAUAUCAGAAUCGGCAUCGGUUUUGGUUGAAAACUCCGGUGGUUGGAGAUGGGCAUGCGUUGUAUUAGAUAGUUGGUGAGGUAACGGCUCACCAAGUCAACGAUACAUGGGGGGACUGGGAGGUUAGCCCCCCACACUGGUACUGAGACACGGACCAGACUCCUACGGGAGGCAGCAGUGAGGAAUAUUGGUCAAUGGGGGCAACCCUGAACCAGCCAUGCCGCGUGCAGGAAGACGGCUCUAUGAGUUGUAAACUGCUUUUACAAGGGGAUAAAUCGGUGUACGUGUACACCGUUGAAGGUACCUUGGGAAUAAGGAUCGGCUAACUCCGUGCCAGCCGCCGCGGUAA